Molecule: ribosomal RNA, 496 nt
Filed under: uncultured Glomeromycotina
Lineage: Eukaryota; Fungi; Glomeromycota
Description: partial small subunit ribosomal RNA
Rfam family: Eukaryotic small subunit ribosomal RNA
Source: RNAcentral
CCAAUAGCGUAUAUUAAAGUUGUUGCAGUUAAAAAGCUCGUAGUUGAAUUUCGAGACCGGUUUACUGGUCGUGCUUUUGUACGUACUGGUAUAAUCGGUUUCUCUUUUCUGACGAAAUAUAAUGCCAUUAAUUUGGUGUUAUAGGGAAUCAGGACUGUUACUUUGAAAAAAUUAGAGUGUUUAAAGCAGGCUCACGCUUGAAUACAUUAGCAUGGAAUAACGAAAUAGGACGUUUGAUUUUAUUUUGUUGGUUUCUAGGAUCGACGUAAUGAUUAAUAGGGAUAGUUGGGGGCAUUAGUAUUCAAUUGUCAGAGGUGAAAUUCUUGGAUUUAUUGAAGACUAACUACUGCGAAAGCAUUUGCCAAGGAUGUUUUCAUUAAUCAAGAACGAAAGUUAGGGGAUCGAAGACGAUCAGAUACCGUCGUAGUCUUAACCAUAAACUAUGCCGACUAGGGAUCGGAUGAUGUUAAUAUUAAUGACUCAUUCGGCACCUUAC